Molecule: long non-coding RNA, 882 nt
Filed under: Salvia miltiorrhiza (redroot sage)
Lineage: Eukaryota; Viridiplantae; Streptophyta; Magnoliopsida; Lamiales; Lamiaceae
Description: long non-coding RNA (SMIL_LNC000312)
Source: RNAcentral
UGAAGAAAACUAGCACGAUAAAUUGUUCCAAUAAUUUCUUAAUAAAAUCAGCAAUCCACUAUAUCAGUAGUACAAGAUAGCUGGUGAACUACCACAACUUGAAUAACAGACUAUCAAUACGAAUUAUUAGCGCAUUAAGAAAAAGGUCUGUCCUCCAUCCUCAAAUCGACUUCAAUCAAUCAAGGGCUUAGCAAUUUCCAAUCAUUAAUCAACUAAGUGCACCCAACCCAUUCUUGAUAAAGAAAAUCUUUAAACUAAACUCAAGCAAUCAGAAGCUUUAGCCCAAACUCAAGCAGUAAGCAAGAAUCAUCCAAAAACCGCAACUUUGAAGAAUUCCUAAAAAUGUAAUUAACCUUCGUAUCAUCCUCCUUCUUCUGCAAUAACUGGUUCAAAAUUCUCAAACAGUCCGCGAACUUCCCAGUCUGAAACAGCACAGCAGCCUCCUUAGCAAGACCCUCCGCGAACAGAGCACCGUCGUCCUCCCCCGCCGCCGCGGACGGCGAUCCGUCUCUUGUAGUCAAUGCCACUGACGAAGAGGGGGAAUCCAUUGACACGCAGAUCGAUGAAAAAAAAAACCCUAGGCGAGUAAAAAACCCUCAGUCACAGCUACUGCAGAAUUCGCAUGCGAAUCCGAAUUUCAAGUCGGAGUUAGGAAAAUACUAAACCCUAGAGAUAAAUGCAGGCUUCAGGAGGAUAUACAUACACAAACAUGUACGCAUAUAUUUUUAUUGAGCCUGUAUGUAUCUAUUGCGAUGCGUUGAUUUAGAAAGAGAAAGAGUGGAGGCGGAGAUGGAUUUAGCAAAUUGGGGAUGGGAUGGGUGAGAAAAUCUAGAUAGAUAAUCAUAAUUGAGGCACUUUUAAUUACUUGCAAACAUAUUUCAU